Molecule: unclassified non-coding RNA, 380 nt
Filed under: uncultured Propionibacteriaceae bacterium
Lineage: Bacteria; Bacillati; Actinomycetota; Actinomycetes; Propionibacteriales; Propionibacteriaceae
Description: contains 16S-23S intergenic spacer region
Source: RNAcentral
UCCGAGUUGACCCCGGCGGUCUCCACUGAGUCCCCAACCGAAUUGCUGGCAACAGUGGACGAGGGUUGCGCUCGUUGCGGGACUUAACCCAACAUCUCACGACACGAGCUGACGACAGCCAUGCACCACCUGUGAACCGACCCCAAAAGAGGCACAACCAUCUCUGGAAGCUCCCGAUCCAUGUCAAACCCAGGUAAGGUUCUUCGCGUUGCAUCGAAUUAAUCCGCAUGCUCCGCCGCUUGUGCGGGGCCCCGUCAAUUCCUUUGAGUUUUAGCCUUGCGGCCGUACUCCCCAGGCGGGGUACUUAAUGCGUUAGCUACGGCACAGAAUCCGUGGAAUGGACCCCACACCUAGUACCCACCGUUUACAGCGUGGACUAC